This 446-nucleotide ribosomal RNA is filed under the name uncultured bacterium. RNAcentral describes it as "partial 16S ribosomal RNA". It matches the Rfam family "Bacterial small subunit ribosomal RNA", at positions 338 to 795 of the family's 1533-position model. The record is from RNAcentral.
CCUACGGGUGGCAGCAGUCGAGAAUCAUUCACAAUGGGGGAAACCCUGAUGGUGCGACGCCGCGUGGGGGAAUGAAGGUCUUCGGAUUGUAAACCCCUGUCAUGUGGGAGCAAAUUAAAAAGAUAGUACCACAAGAGGAAGAGACGGCUAACUCUGUGCCAGCAGCCGCGGUAAUACAGAGGUCUCAAGCGUUGUUCGGAAUCACUGGGCGUAAAGCGUGCGUAGGCUGUUUCGUAAGUCGGGUGUGAAAGGCGCGGGCUCAACCCGCGGACGGCACAUGAUACUGCGAGACUAGAGUAGUGGAGGGGGAACCGGAAUUCUCGGUGUAGCAGUGAAAUGCGUAGAUAUCGAGAGGAACACUCGUGGCGAAGGCGGGUUCCUGGACAUUAACUGACGCUGAGGCACGAAGGCCAGGGGAGCGAAAGGGAUUAGAUACCCGGGUAGUC